AUUCCAGCUCCAAUAGCGUAUAUUAAAGUUGUUGCAGUUAAAAAGCUCGUAGUUGGAUUUCUGGCGGGAGCGGCCUGUCCUGCCCUUUGCGGGGUUGAGCACAAGCGCUGCAUCCGGCCAUCCUUGUGGAGAGCGUUUCUGGCAUUCAGUUGUCGGACUCGGGAUCCGCAUCGUUUACUGUGAAAAAAUUAGAGUGUUUAAAGCAGGCAUUUGCUUGAAUACAUUAGCAUGGAAUAAUAAGAUAGGACUUAGUCGUUAUUUUGUUGGUCUUGCACGUCUAGGUAAUGAUUAAUAGGGAUAGUUGGGGGUAUUCAUAUUUAAUUGUCAGAGGUGAAAUUCUUGGGUUUAUGAAAGAUGAACUUAUGCGAAAGCAUUUACCAUGGAUGUUUUCAUCA
This 395-nucleotide ribosomal RNA is filed under the name Stramenopiles sp. MAST-6. Its description in RNAcentral is "partial small subunit ribosomal RNA". It matches the Rfam family "Eukaryotic small subunit ribosomal RNA", at positions 582 to 975 of the family's 1831-position model. The record is from RNAcentral.